UUAAGCGACUAAGCGUACACGGUGGAUGCCCUGGCAGUCAGAGGCGAUGAAGGACGUGCUAAUCUGCGAUAAGCGUCGGUGAGGUGAUAUGAACCGUUAUAACCGGCGAUUUCCGAAUGGGGAAACCCAGUGUGUUUCGACACACUAUCAUUAACUGAAUCCAUAGGUUAAUGAGGCGAACCGGGGGAACUGAAACAUCUAAGUACCCCGAGGAAAAGAAAUCAACCGAGAUUCCCCCAGUAGCGGCGAGCGAACGGGGAGGAGCCCAGAGCCUGAAUCAGUGUGUGUGUUAGUGGAAGCGUCUGGAAAGGCGUGCGAUACAGGGUGACAGCCCCGUACACAAAAAUGCACAUAUUGUGAGCUCGAUGAGUAGGGCGGGACACGUGGUAUCCUGUCUGAAUAUGGGGGGACCAUCCUCCAAGGCUAAAUACUCCUGACUGACCGAUAGUGAACCAGUACCGUGAGGGAAAGGCGAAAAGAACCCCGGCGAGGGGAGUGAAAAAGAACCUGAAACCGUGUACGUACAAGCAGUGGGAGCCUCUUAAUGGGGUGACUGCGUACCUUUUGUAUAAUGGGUCAGCGACUUAUAUUCUGUAGCAAGGUUAACCGAAUAGGGGAGCCGAAGGGAAACCGAGUCUUAACUGGGCGUUAAGUUGCAGGGUAUAGACCCGAAACCCGGUGAUCUAGCCAUGGGCAGGUUGAAGGUUGGGUAACACUAACUGGAGGACCGAACCGACUAAUGUUGAAAAAUUAGCGGAUGACUUGUGGCUGGGGGUGAAAGGCCAAUCAAACCGGGAGAUAGCUGGUUCUCCCCGAAAGCUAUUUAGGUAGCGCCUCGUGAAUUCAUCUCCGGGGGUAGAGCACUGUUUCGGCAAGGGGGUCAUCCCGACCUACCAACCCGAUGCAAACUGCGAAUACCGGAGAAUGUUAUCACGGGAGACACACGGCGGGUGCUAACGUCCGUCGUGAAGAGGGAAACAACCCAGACCGCCAGCUAAGGUCCCAAAGUCAUGGUUAAGUGGGAAACGAUGUGGGAAGGCCCAGACAGCCAGGAUGUUGGCUUAGAAGCAGCCAUCAUUUAAAGAAAGCGUAAUAGCUCACUGGUCGAGUCGGCCUGCGCGGAAGAUGUAACGGGGCUAAACCAUGCACCGAAGCUGCGGCAGCGACACUAUGUGUUGUUGGGUAGGGGAGCGUUCUGUAAGCCUGUGAAGGUGGCCUGUGAGGGUUGCUGGAGGUAUCAGAAGUGCGAAUGCUGACAUAAGUAACGAUAAAGCGGGUGAAAAGCCCGCUCGCCGGAAGACCAAGGGUUCCUGUCCAACGUUAAUCGGGGCAGGGUGAGUCGACCCCUAAGGCGAGGCCGAAAGGCGUAGUCGAUGGGAAACAGGUUAAUAUUCCUGUACUUGGUGUUACUGCGAAGGGGGGACGGAGAAGGCUAUGUUGGCCGGGCGACGGUUGUCCCGGUUUAAGCGUGUAGGCUGGUUUUCCAGGCAAAUCCGGAAAACCAAGGCUGAGGCGUGAUGACGAGGCACUACGGUGCUGAAGCGACAAAUGCCCUGCUUCCAGGAAAAGCCUCUAAGCAUCAGGUAACAUCAAAUCGUACCCCAAACCGACACAGGUGGUCAGGUAGAGAAUACCAAGGCGCUUGAGAGAACUCGGGUGAAGGAACUAGGCAAAAUGGUGCCGUAACUUCGGGAGAAGGCACGCUGAUAUGUAGGUGAAGCGACUUGCUCGUGGAGCUGAAAUCAGUCGAAGAUACCAGCUGGCUGCAACUGUUUAUUAAAAACACAGCACUGUGCAAACACGAAAGUGGACGUAUACGGUGUGACGCCUGCCCGGUGCCGGAAGGUUAAUUGAUGGGGUUAGCGGCAACGCGAAGCUCUUGAUCGAAGCCCCGGUAAACGGCGGCCGUAACUAUAACGGUCCUAAGGUAGCGAAAUUCCUUGUCGGGUAAGUUCCGACCUGCACGAAUGGCGUAAUGAUGGCCAGGCUGUCUCCACCCGAGACUCAGUGAAAUUGAACUCGCUGUGAAGA
This 2031-nucleotide ribosomal RNA is filed under the name Escherichia coli HVH 23 (4-6066488). RNAcentral describes it as "bacterial LSU rRNA". It matches the Rfam family "Bacterial large subunit ribosomal RNA", at positions 1 to 2059 of the family's 2925-position model. The record is from RNAcentral. Lineage: Bacteria; Pseudomonadati; Pseudomonadota; Gammaproteobacteria; Enterobacterales; Enterobacteriaceae.